AUAGAGACUCAGAGCUGCAUAUCAAUAAGCGGAGGAAAAGAAACUAACAAGGAUUCCCUUAGUAACGGCGAGUGAAGCGGGAAGAGCUCAAAUUUGAAAUCUUCAAGGUUCUACCUUGACGAAUUGUAGUUUAAAGAAGUGUUUUCUGUUAGUGGAGUGGCAAAAGUUCUUUGGAAUAGGACAUCAUAGAGGGUGAGAAUCCCGUAUUUGGUCAUUCCUCCUAGCGUUGUGAUACACUUUCAACGAGUCGGAUUGUUUGGGAAUGCAGUCCAAAAUGGGUGGUAAAUUUCAUCUAAAGCUAAAUAUUGGCGAGAGACCGAUAGCGAACAAGUACCGUGAGGGAAAGAUGAAAAGAACUUUGAAAAGAGAGUUAAACAGUACGUGAAAUUGUCAAAAGGGAAGCGUUUGACACCAGUGUUGUUUUUCCGAAAAUCAAUUACGAAUGUUUUGUUUUUGAGGAGUUAUGACUUCAUCGGCUUGCUCCUUUCUUUACGAAACUUUCUUAAUGCACUUUUCGGUUAACAAGUCAACAUCAAUUUCUUUUGUUGUAAAAGGGUAUGAGGAAGGUGGCUUUCUUUUCGGAGAAAGUGUUUAUAGCCUUGUGCCUCUGCAAUCGGAGAGAUUGAGGUCUGCAGCGUAGAUCCUUCGGGGUUAGAUACGUUUGUGCUAAGUUAUAGCUUUUCAUAGACAACUUGUUGACUAUGUUUAGUCUUGUAGCUUACUCGCUUACGCUAUUUUACCUACGCUUAGGAUGUUGAUAUGCAUGACUGAUA
This 773-nucleotide ribosomal RNA is filed under the name uncultured Neocallimastigales. Its description in RNAcentral is "partial large subunit ribosomal RNA". It matches the Rfam family "Eukaryotic large subunit ribosomal RNA", at positions 23 to 642 of the family's 3401-position model. The record is from RNAcentral. Lineage: Eukaryota; Fungi; Neocallimastigomycota; Neocallimastigomycetes; Neocallimastigales.